Molecule: long non-coding RNA, 437 nt
Filed under: Manduca sexta (tobacco hornworm)
Lineage: Eukaryota; Metazoa; Arthropoda; Insecta; Lepidoptera; Sphingidae
Description: uncharacterized LOC119189215
Source: RNAcentral
AUAUUCCAAAUUUUGCAAGUUUUUUACCAAAAUACGAUGGUUAACUUUAUCAAAUGCCUUGGUAAAAUCUGUGUAGAUAGCAUCAACUUGGCUACCUUUAUCUACUGCUAAUGUAACAUCAUCAGUGUACUGAACUAGGUUUGUGUUUGUGGACCUCCUAGUGAUGAAGCCAUGCUGGUUUGAUGAUAGUUGGUCUCGAACUUGUCUAAACAGGUACAAUUCUCGCCUCUUUCCAAUUUGUUGGAAAAAUACCCGAUGAUAAUGAUUUAUUAAAAAUAUGGCAUAAUGGAGUUGAGAGUUGAUUGGCACAUUGAGCGAUGAAUAGAGGUGGAAUAUUGUCCGGCCCAGCACUUUUACUCUGGUCAAGAUGUUUGAGUUUGUAUCUUACAUCCCUUACGUGAACGAUGAUGUUAUUAAAUUCUUGUCCCAAUACAGUA